Molecule: long non-coding RNA, 828 nt
Filed under: Mytilus galloprovincialis (Mediterranean mussel)
Lineage: Eukaryota; Metazoa; Mollusca; Bivalvia; Mytilida; Mytilidae
Source: RNAcentral
UUAUCAUUAGGUCUUUCCACUUUUCUGUGGAAAGACCUAUUGUUUUUCUUCUGAUUAUUUUUUUUUUCUUCCGCCUAAUUUUGUUCUUGCGAUAAACAUUUGUUUCGCAAUAUGUCGCUUAGAUAUUUGGUAUAUGAUAUCGAACAGUUUAUGCGCUUUUGAAAUUUACCCUGCGUAAACGAAUACUUUUCUUUGUAGGAGUUAUCUCCCCAAACACUGAUUUCCUUGUUAGCGCAUCUCCUUCGUAACAAAAUAAGAAAGCGACAAAAUUCUUUUUACAAAUUGUUCGUUACAUCCUCAGGAAUUUUUGGCUAAUUUGGAUCGAAGCGAUUCGAUGAAAUUUUAUAGGAGUUAUGUACCUUUACGGAAUAAAUUUGUCGGUAUGUUUUUUUAAACUCAGAAACCGUUAACCGUAUAACCCUGGAAUGUUUUUAUUUGAGUCCCCUGGGUCCUAACUUAGAAAAUUAGGUCAAGGUCAAAGGUCAAGGUCAUAUUUUAGAUUUUCAUAUGUCUUUGAUUUCCCUAUAAUUCUUGAAUGGUUAUAGAUACAGAAAAUUUAAGCAGUGAAAAAUGUUCAGUACUUCAAGGGGCAACUUUGUUACAUUAUGACUGUAUUGGUUUUACCAUUAUGUAAGGGACAUAACACCCAUUGAUGGUUUAUAAAAAGCCAUUAUUAGGCAAAACUCUUAAACAAAAGGUCCUUGACCCAUAGGGUCUUUUGCAAUGACAUUGUGAAGCAAUGACCUUGACAAAGGUCACAAGGUCAAAGGUCAAGGUCAUGUACAUAUGUGAUUUGGGGCACGACUUGAAGAAUUUUAUGUGUGUUUG